UUGUGUACCAAUGGUCGUCUC
RNAcentral lists this microRNA (21 nucleotides) under Cordylochernes scorpioides. Lineage: Eukaryota; Metazoa; Arthropoda; Arachnida; Pseudoscorpiones; Chernetidae. The record is from RNAcentral.